UAAUCAAUGUACUCUGGUGGUGUCGUUAAAAAACCCAACUUUAGCUGUAAGGUAACUAAAAACGACAUAAUAAAUAAAACUCGUAUACAAAACAAGGAGACAAAUGUUUUGGCCACUGCAACACCCCGGAAACAAACGUUUUAAAAAGGAGAAAUAAUUUGGAGGAAAGAGACUAUAUCCGAUUUCAAUUACUAAUAUGUACGCUAUCGAUUUGUUUGUUAUUUCCAAGAAAAACUCUACUUUCUGUUUGUGUGCUUUCUGUAACACAAAGUGGAAUUUUCCACUGCACGAGUGAUGUGACGUGCUGCUCAAUAAAGAAUAGGUAUAUAAAUUUAUAAUAAAAGAGCCUGCGUCAUUGGUGCCCGGCCAUUCCCGUUAACGAAACUAAGAGGACAGAACUAGAAAUCUGUAUCAAAUUACACAUCCAGGUCCACGCAAGACAAAACUAUGUCCAGCUGCGGAAAAUACGGAGGAACUGGAGACAAGCCGGAUGUGGAUAACCACUGCAAACAAUGCAAUCCCAACAACCCCAGUUACCAAGGGCACCAAUCGGGAUAUUCCGGAACCGGAACCAAGCCGGAUCUGGAUAACCACAGCCAGCAGUUGAACCCGACCAGCGACAAGUACCAGGCGCCUAAAAAAUAGCACGGCGUCAGCACUUGGCGCAUGCACCGUCGCAGCUGACAUGGAUAUUUUAUUGUUUAUGAGAUCAAACAAAAUGUAAACGAUAAAAUUUAACGUCAGUUGUUGGUUCUAGUUCGUUCUGGUUGAAAUUAAUAAAUCUGCUUCUGUGAUAA
Molecule: long non-coding RNA, 797 nt
Organism: Gigantopelta aegis
Lineage: Eukaryota; Metazoa; Mollusca; Gastropoda; Neomphalida; Peltospiridae
Exons: 2
Source: RefSeq, a predicted model, not a curated record